AGUGAACGCUGGCGGUAGGCCUAACACAUGCAAGUCGAACGGCAGCACAGUAAGAGCUUGCUCUUACGGGUGGCGAGUGGCGGACGGGUGAGGAAUACAUCGGAAUCUACUUUUUCGUGGGGGAUAACGUAGGGACACUUACGCUAAUACCGCAUACGACCUACGGGUGAAAGCAGGGGAUCUUCGGACCUUGCGCGAUUGAAUGAGCCGAUGUCGGAUUAGCUAGUUGGCGGGGUAAAGGCCCACCAAGGCGACGAUCCGUAGCUGGUCUGAGAGGAUGAUCAGCCACACUGGAACUGAGACACGGUCCAGACUCCUACGGGAGGCAGCAGUGGGGAAUAUUGGACAAUGGGCGCAAGCCUGAUCCAGCCAUACCGCGUGGGUGAAGAAGGCCUUCGGGUUGUAAAGCCCUUUUGUUGGGAAAGAAAAGCAGCAGGUGAAUACCCCGCUGUUCUGACGGUACCCAAAGAAUAAGCACCGGCUAACUUCGUG
RNAcentral lists this ribosomal RNA (492 nucleotides) under uncultured bacterium. Its description in RNAcentral is "partial 16S ribosomal RNA". It matches the Rfam family "Bacterial small subunit ribosomal RNA", at positions 29 to 507 of the family's 1533-position model. The record is from RNAcentral.